Molecule: long non-coding RNA, 5757 nt
Organism: Dreissena polymorpha
Lineage: Eukaryota; Metazoa; Mollusca; Bivalvia; Myida; Dreissenidae
Exons: 3
Source: RefSeq, a predicted model, not a curated record
UAAAAUGGUGGGUCAAACGUCCAUUUUACCGCCGUAUUGUUGGGUCUUUAGUCGAUUGUCGGGUCCCAAAGUCGAUUAUCGGGCACUUGGACCCGACAGUUGAAGACCCACUUAAUAAAAGGCUGCUUAACAUCCUCAUGACUAUUUUUUAAUUCAAAUUUGCGUAUGUAAUUUUACUCGAAUUGUCGGGCCUAUAUCUCCCAUUCGCAAACUUUAGAUCAAACUCCUCACGGCAGUUACUUCCCUUGGGCAUCUUCUAGAAUAAGGGAGGCCACUGAGCCCUUUUCGGAAAGUCGCAUAUCUCCCCUGAGUAUUCUCCGGAAUUGGAGGUUCUCAAUCGCUGGCAUUCGGUACCCCUCGCAGAUUAUCAUAAUACUUAUCCGAUGUUUGACGGAAAGGGCCGAGAAUGUGCGAUUGAAUCGCUGGGUAGUAUUGAUUUCCAGUAACAAUGGCGUCGAAUGAGAAAGAAAACGAUCGUUAUCUGUCUGACAUCGAAAUUGACAAAUUAAGUGUUGCACAAUUGAAGGAUUAUUUACGAUUUCAUAAUCAUUAUGUGUCAGGGAAUAAGAAUGAACUUGUCUUGAGGACAAAAGGCGUACAAAAGCUAGGAUUAAAUGAUCGACAGCUGCACAGGAAUGCGGAAGUAAAUUAUGAAAAAAGGAAAACAGAAAAACUUUUUACGCCACUCGGUGAAAAGCUGCCACAUCCAGAUGUAUUAAAAACGUUGAGUAGUGACUUAAUGGACUUUCCUACAUUAAUAGAUAGUGACAUCUACAAUUAUUUUGUGCUGAAAAUGAACACACAAAAACAAUUGAGAUCAAAAAAUUGUAUUAUGUUUACAGACAUAAACACAGUAUUUUGUACCAUGACAUAAGUGACAAAUGGGAACAUUGUUUUGUUAAAUGCAAAGUAUUACCAUCACUACCGAGUGCAAAUGUGAAAGAAAACCCAGAUCACAGUGUGUGGCUCUGUCUGUCAAAGGUCACUGGACAGGUUCAUUCAGCGGAAUGUAAUUGCACAGCCGGGAGCGGAGAAGCAUGUAUCCAUAUUGGUGCAUUUAUGUAUGCCCUUUCUGAUCUCACUGCUAAAAAGAAGGACGGCACUCUAAGAUCAACCUCAAAAAAAUGCGUGUGGGACAGAUUUAAUAAUCCCCGGAAAAGAAAGCGAACGCCUAAAAAGUCUAGCGAAUUUACAUUUCGGAAACAUACCUUUGAGUCAAAAUUAGAGCCAGUCGAAAAUAACACCAGAAAAGAACUUCUUGCGAUUUCUGUAAAUGAGAACAGUUUCCGUUCAAAACUCGAAAAUAUGCAACCCAACAGCUGGAUGGCUUUUGAACUUUGUAGAAGAGAAGGAAGAGGUGAAAUUACCAAAGUUUAUAGAAAUUGGAUAUAACUUUAGUGAUAGCGUAGAUCUGAAUAGUGAAACUGUGAAGGAUAAAAUGUCGAAAAUGAUGGAUAUGCUACAAAUGGAUGAACUUGAAUGCCAAAGUAUUGAAAAAUUAACCAGAGGUCAGGGAAAGAACGUACUUUGGGAAGAUGAAAGAAAAUUACGUGUAACUGCAUCCAAUUUUGGUGAAGUAAUUUUACUGAAACAAGAGACUGAAAGAUUUAAAAGAAAUUGAGUGCAAUCUUUAAAGAAUAGUAACAAAUAUGAAUUUAAGAUCACAAUUGUGAAUUUCUCGCAAGCUUACCCUUGCUCCUAGAAUAUGUUUUUAUAAUUUUGAUGUCUCACUUUUCUCUAGAGAUUAACCCUUUACUUCUUAAAUAUGUAUUUUCAAGCUUUUGUAGUUCCUUAAAAAGUUAAAUGUAAUAAAGUACCUUUAUUACUAAAUUUAAGUUUUAAAGGCUUCAUUUCCAACCCUUAAAUACUGAUGAGCAGCAAACAGUAUAAAACCUGAACAGACUGCGAGUUACUAGCAUGCUGUUCUGGUUUUAUGCUGUUUUCACUGUGCUUCCAAGUGGAAUAGGGUUAAAUAACAAAAGUUAACGCCAGAUCAGAAAAUAAUUUAAGUAACAACAGUACAGGACAUCAUUGAGGUCCCUCCUUUUUUAUGUUUCAAUAGUCAUUUAGCUCUACAAAGCAUAUAAAUAUUGUACAUAAAAGUGUAUGAAUGUAUAAAUAUUUAUCAACUGUUCAUAUUAUGAAUUUUACAGUAGUACAUGUAGAAUGCUUUUCAACGAUUUGUGUACGGUUCAUUAAUACCAUCACAACGUGAUUGUCAAUUGUUAUUCCGCUAAAUUGAUUUGCUCUUAAAAUGAUAAAUCAUAAAAAGAACUUUUGCUAUGUUAUUAUCCAUCACUUAUUACCUUACCUGUGUUUGGAGAAAAACCGAAGGGUUUACGAUAAUAAUCUGUUUCAAAAUGUUAAAAUGAUAUGAAAUUAAUGAGUGGCAAGCAUGAACCAAAUUAAGAAAAUCAACACAGAGGUAUCAACAGCUGCAUCUUAUUAAAAAUCUGUGCACAAUGCUUUUUGUCCAAGUAUAGAUCAUUUCAGAACCCCAUUGAGUUAAUAGACACCUUGGAAGCUUUGCUGGUAUGACUUCUGCUUUACAUCUGACAAGUACUCUGCAGGUGUUGCUACUUGUAUCAGAAAUCUUGGUUUUAAACAAGAGCUGUCACCAUAGGAUGACUUAUGCCCCCUAUAUACGCUUGAUAGAAGUUAUGAGCAUUUUCCCAAACCUAAAUGCAUAUUUCGAAACCUAAACACGGACCCUAAGUUUAAGGUCAAGGUCACAGGGGUCAAAGUUUGUGUGCAUAUGGAAAGGCCUUGACCAUAUACACAUGCAUGCCAAAUAUGAAAAUGCUAUCUGAAGCGACAUAGAAGUUAUGAGCAUUUUUCGAAACCUAAACGCAAAGUGUGACGGACAGACCGACAGACAGUCCGAUCACUAUAGCGACAUAGAAGUUAUGAGCUUUUUUCGAAACCUAAAUGCAUAUUCGAAACCUAAACGCGGACCCUUAGUUUAAGGUCAAGGUCACAGGGGUCAAAAUUUGUGUGCGUAUGGAAAAGCUUUGUCCAUAUACACAUGCAUGCCAAAUAUGAAAUUGCUAUCCAAAGCGACAUAGCAGUUAUGAGGAUUUUUCGAAACCUAAACGCAAAGUGUGACGGACGGACAGACCGACAGACAGUCUGAUCACUAUAUGCCCUCCUUCGGGGGCAUAAAAAUUCUUGACGGGUUUAUUGCUCCCAAUUAUAAAUUAACUGUUGAUUAAGUCUUCAGUAGCAGUACUAAACCUUAAAGACAAACAUUUACUUAGGUAUACAAAAGAAAUCUGUGUUUUCAACGCUCUGUGUCAAUUAAUGUAUGUAAACUUGAAUCCAGUACAAUAUUUAUCAGAAUUUCAGUCUUAUAAUUUGUUUGGUCUUACAAAACUGCUUUCAAGCAAGAAAACAUGUAUAAAUAUAUUGGCACAAACACACAAACGCAGAAACACAAUUUUCUUUUUUUGCCUGAAAAUGUUUGUAUGGAAUAUGAGACAAGAAAAUAAUAAUCAGUAACAAUUUUAUUUUCACAAAUGAAAGCUGACUGUAAAAUGUGAAAUUAAGUAUUAUUCACAUAAUUACAUAGUAUAUUACUUAUACAUACAUGCAAUGGUCAAACACUUCUAGUUAAAUUGUAUACUGAAUUUCUCACAAAGUUCACUUGUUCAGCUUCUUAUCAAACUUAAUUUGUACUAGUUUUAAGGAGCCACUUUUCCAGUUUAUAUUAGCAUGACUAUUUUCAGUUUAUAAACACACUUUAUUUUCCGGGGACAGGUUUUUCGUGCUAACCCUGCUUUCAUUCCAACACUGACCUCAUCAAAUAAACACUCAAAAGUUCCAGCAGUUGGGAUACCAGUGUAGAACAACACCUUAUCGUCAUCAUCCCUUAUAUCCUCAAAGGUGAAGCUAGGCCGAUCCACUUGUAUCCCAACUGUCGACGUUUCAGUAGAAGUCUGGGUUGAUAUACUUCUGGGAACUCUCGUAUCGUCGGUUUGAGUAACCACAGAAAUCAGCUCCGGUUGCACUUGUUCACACUGAUGACGGAUUAUGGCGGGUACUGGUGUAAACCUUCCAUAGUCAUGGAGCUGAAAUAAAUAAAUACAUUUUUACAAGCAAAGUAAAUGCAGUUUGAAGUAAAGAUUAUAGGUCUUUCUGUAUUUUACUAAGGCAUCACCAAACUGAUAACUUCUUCAGUUUUUUUCUUUAAAAAUGGGAAGAGCAUGAAAAACAACUAUCUAUUUAUACUGCCAAGUGCCCUUUCGAGCAUGGUAGGCAGACAUGGACAUUAUCGAGUCGGUUUCCUGGGAAGAACCAGUACUUGGUGUCCAUGGAGGAGAUAAUUAGAAUGCUUCCCAAGUAAGGAGUGAACCCACUAACACCCGAUCGCUAGGCGGAUAUCUCAUCCACUACAACACCGCGACCUUGAACUACAAAUAUUUUUUUAUGUCCCCCACUAUAGAAGUGGGGGACAUAUUGUUUUUGCCCUGUCUGUUGGUUGGUCUGUUGGUUGGUUGGUUUGCGCCAACUUAAACAUUUUGCAAUAACUUUUGCUAUAUUGAAUAUAGCAACUUGAUAUUUGGCAUGCAUGAGUAUCUCAUGGAGCUGCACAUUUUGAGUGGUGAAAGGUCAGAGGUCAAAUAUAUGUGGCCUAAAUUGCUCAUUUUAUGAAUACUUUUGCAAUAUUGAAGAUAGCAACUCGAUAUUUGGCAUGCAUGUGUAUCUCAUGGAGCUGCACAUUUUGAGUGGUGAAAGGUCAAAGUCAAGGUCAUCCUUCAAGGUCAGAGGUAAAACAUAUUUGUCCCAAAUCGCUUAUUUUAUUAAUACUUUUGAAAUAUUGAAGAUAGCAACUUGAUAUUUGGCAUGCAUGUGUAUCUCAUGGAGCUGCACAAUUUGAGUGGUGAAAGGUCAAGGUCAUCCUUCAAGGUCAAGGUCAUCCUUAAAGGUCAAAUAUAUGGGUCAAAAUUGCUCAUGUAAUGUCACUUCUGCAAUAUUGAAGCUAGCAAUUUUAUAUUUGAAAUGCAUGUGUAUCUCAUGGAGCUGCACAUUUUGAGUGGUGAAGGGUCAAGGUCAUCCUUCAAGGUCAAACAUUAUUUAGGGGGACAUUGUGUUUCACAAACGCAUCUUGUUUCAAAUUAUCUUUAUUCAACAACAUUUUGUAUAACGAUAAAACAACUCACUCUUAGAGAUACGUCUAGUAGUGAUGCACUGCUUUCAACCAACAAACCAUCUGCCUCGUUCUCGAAACUCAAGUCUGGUGAACGGUUAUCUGACAUUUCCUCAGUUUCUGGUGUGGAAUUCGUCUCAUCUGCUUCAGGGCCAUUUUCCAGAGUCUGUAAGGUAAACAAAUAAAAUUAAAUCAGCACAUCAAAGACCUAGAAAUACACAUACUUUUUCAAACUAACAUGAAAGAAUGAUGUUCAGAUACGUAAUAUUUAUGCUUCUGUAUCAUGUUGUAAACACCGUCAGAUUCUAUACCGAUAGAGUAACUGACCCAUGUUCAUUCUUGAAACCUCGUAUAGCCUAGUGGCAACAUAUCCGCUUCAAAAUAUCAGAUACCAUUGGUUCGAUCCUCGGCUGUGAGCUACAUAAAAUAAAUCAUGAACUGUGCCAUGGGUAUGUCUGCCAUUAUCCCAUGCUUGAUUGUACCACAAGGAAUCACUGAUUUGAAUAGUAAGCUCGAUUUAAUAAUCCAUCGGAAUCGUUUUAAGGUGAUAAUCUGAUUACACGCAGUGCGCAAUCUGAUUAUGUGAUGACUUAAAUUAGUAUAAGUAUUAA